GGGGAAUAUUGGACAAUGGGGGCAACCCUGAUCCAGCAAUGCCGCGUGUGUGAAGAAGGUCUUCGGAUUGUAAAGCACUUUCGACGGGGACGAUGAUGACGGUACCCGUAGAAGAAGCCCCGGCUAACUUCGUGCCAGCAGCCGCGGUAAUACGAAGGGGGCUAGCGUUGCUCGGAAUGACUGGGCGUAAAGGGCGUGUAGGCGGUUUACACAGUCAGAUGUGAAAUCCCCGGGCUUAACCUGGGAGCUGCAUUUGAUACGUGUAGACUAGAGUGUGAGAGAGGGUUGUGGAAUUCCCAGUGUAGAGGUGAAAUUCGUAGAUAUUGGGAAGAACACCGGUGGCGAAGGCGGCAACCUGGCUCAUUACUGACGCUGAGGCGCGAAAGCGUGGGGAGCAAAC
RNAcentral lists this ribosomal RNA (400 nucleotides) under uncultured bacterium. RNAcentral describes it as "bacterial SSU rRNA". It matches the Rfam family "Bacterial small subunit ribosomal RNA", at positions 356 to 773 of the family's 1533-position model. The record is from RNAcentral.